CCCUUAGAUGUUCUGGGCUGCACGCGCGCUACACUGAUGCACUCAACGAGUUUACGACCUUGCCCGAUAGGGUUGGGUAAUCUUUUUAAAAUGCAUCGUGAUGGGGAUAGAUUAUUGCAAUUAUUAAUCUUCAACGAGGAAUUCCUAGUAAGCGCGAGUCAUCAGCUCGUGCUGAUUACGUCCCUGCCCUUUGUACACACCGCCCGUCGCUCCUACCGAUUGAGUGCUCAGGUGGAUAAUUCGGACUGCAGCAAUGUUUGGAUCCCGAACGUUGCAGCGGAAAGUUUAGUGAACCUUAUCACUUAGAGGAAGGAGAAGUCGUAACA
Molecule: ribosomal RNA, 326 nt
Filed under: uncultured eukaryote
Lineage: Eukaryota
Description: partial 18S ribosomal RNA
Rfam family: Eukaryotic small subunit ribosomal RNA
Source: RNAcentral